CCUACGGGAGGCAGCAGUGGGGAAUUUUUGGCAAUGGGCAAAAGCCUGACCAAGCAACGCCGCGUGGGUGAUGAAGUAUCUUGGUACGUAAAACCCUUUCGGCAGGAACGAACACAAUGACGGUACCUGCGGAAGAAGCCCCGGCUAACUCCGUGCCAGCAGCCGCGGUAAU
Molecule: ribosomal RNA, 172 nt
Filed under: uncultured bacterium
Lineage: Bacteria
Description: partial 16S ribosomal RNA
Rfam family: Bacterial small subunit ribosomal RNA
Source: RNAcentral